Molecule: ribosomal RNA, 429 nt
Filed under: Chloroflexota bacterium
Lineage: Bacteria; Bacillati; Chloroflexota
Description: Chloroflexi bacterium partial 16S ribosomal RNA
Rfam family: Bacterial small subunit ribosomal RNA
Source: RNAcentral
UAGGGAAUCUUCAGCAAUGGACGAAAGUCUGACCGAGCAACGCCGCGUGAGUGAAGAAGGUUUUCGGAUCGUAAAACUCUGUUGUUAGAGAAGAACAAGGACGUUAGUAACUGAACGUCCCCUGACGGUAUCUAACCAGAAAGCCACGGCUAACUACGUGCCAGCAGCCGCGGUAAUACGUAGGUGGCAAGCGUUGUCCGGAUUUACUGGGCGUCAAGCGAGCGCAGGCGGUUUCUUAAGUCUGAUGUGGAAGCCCCCGGCUCAACCGGGGAGGGUCAUUGGAAACUGGGAGACUUGAGUGCAGAAGAGGAGAGUGGAAUUCCAUGUGUAGCAGUGAAAUGCCUAGAUAUAUGGAGGAACAACAGUGGCGAAGGCGGCUCUCUGGUCUGUAACUGACGCUGAGGCUCGAAAGCGUGGGGAGCAAACAGG